Molecule: non-coding RNA, 106 nt
Organism: Clostridium sp. ATCC 29733
Lineage: Bacteria; Bacillati; Bacillota; Clostridia; Eubacteriales; Clostridiaceae
Source: Rfam
CACUUAUCAAGAGUGGCUGAGGGAACAGGCCCUGUGAAGCCCGACAACCUGCCCCCCGCGGGGGUGCAAGGUGCCAAAUCCUGCGGGUAAAGCCGAAAGAUAAGCU